Ribosomal RNA from Janthinobacterium agaricidamnosum, 1531 nucleotides. It matches the Rfam family "Bacterial small subunit ribosomal RNA". Lineage: Bacteria; Pseudomonadati; Pseudomonadota; Betaproteobacteria; Burkholderiales; Oxalobacteraceae. The record is from Rfam.
AAACUGAAGAGUUUGAUCCUGGCUCAGAUUGAACGCUGGCGGCAUGCCUUACACAUGCAAGUCGAACGGCAGCACGGAGCUUGCUCUGGUGGCGAGUGGCGAACGGGUGAGUAAUAUAUCGGAACGUACCCUGGAGUGGGGGAUAACGUAGCGAAAGUUACGCUAAUACCGCAUACGAUCUACGGAUGAAAGUGGGGGAUCGCAAGACCUCAUGCUCGUGGAGCGGCCGAUAUCUGAUUAGCUAGUUGGUAGGGUAAAAGCCUACCAAGGCAUCGAUCAGUAGCUGGUCUGAGAGGACGACCAGCCACACUGGAACUGAGACACGGUCCAGACUCCUACGGGAGGCAGCAGUGGGGAAUUUUGGACAAUGGGCGCAAGCCUGAUCCAGCAAUGCCGCGUGAGUGAAGAAGGCCUUCGGGUUGUAAAGCUCUUUUGUCAGGGAAGAAACGGUGAGGGCUAAUAUCCUUUGCUAAUGACGGUACCUGAAGAAUAAGCACCGGCUAACUACGUGCCAGCAGCCGCGGUAAUACGUAGGGUGCAAGCGUUAAUCGGAAUUACUGGGCGUAAAGCGUGCGCAGGCGGUUUUGUAAGUCUGAUGUGAAAUCCCCGGGCUCAACCUGGGAAUUGCAUUGGAGACUGCAAGGCUAGAAUCUGGCAGAGGGGGGUAGAAUUCCACGUGUAGCAGUGAAAUGCGUAGAUAUGUGGAGGAACACCGAUGGCGAAGGCAGCCCCCUGGGUCAAGAUUGACGCUCAUGCACGAAAGCGUGGGGAGCAAACAGGAUUAGAUACCCUGGUAGUCCACGCCCUAAACGAUGUCUACUAGUUGUCGGGUCUUAAUUGACUUGGUAACGCAGCUAACGCGUGAAGUAGACCGCCUGGGGAGUACGGUCGCAAGAUUAAAACUCAAAGGAAUUGACGGGGACCCGCACAAGCGGUGGAUGAUGUGGAUUAAUUCGAUGCAACGCGAAAAACCUUACCUACCCUUGACAUGGACGGAAUCCCGAAGAGAUUUGGGAGUGCUCGAAAGAGAGCCGUUACACAGGUGCUGCAUGGCUGUCGUCAGCUCGUGUCGUGAGAUGUUGGGUUAAGUCCCGCAACGAGCGCAACCCUUGUCAUUAGUUGCUACGAAAGGGCACUCUAAUGAGACUGCCGGUGACAAACCGGAGGAAGGUGGGGAUGACGUCAAGUCCUCAUGGCCCUUAUGGGUAGGGCUUCACACGUCAUACAAUGGUACAUACAGAGCGCCGCCAACCCGCGAGGGGGAGCUAAUCGCAGAAAGUGUAUCGUAGUCCGGAUUGUAGUCUGCAACUCGACUGCAUGAAGUUGGAAUCGCUAGUAAUCGCGGAUCAGCAUGUCGCGGUGAAUACGUUCCCGGGUCUUGUACACACCGCCCGUCACACCAUGGGAGCGGGUUUUACCAGAAGUAGGUAGCUUAACCGCAAGGAGGGCGCUUACCACGGUAGGAUUCGUGACUGGGGUGAAGUCGUAACAAGGUAGCCGUAUCGGAAGGUGCGGCUGGAUCACCUCCUUU